UCGAAUUAAAACUAAAAAUUAAACAAUUUUGUCAUUAUCCAAUACAUGAAACAAAUUAAUCUAACAUAUUAUUGGAAUCAAACAAAUAAAAGUGGAAGGACAUCACCGAAAAUUGACGGACGUGUUUAACUCCAAUUAUAAUCUAAUAAUCCGCGUCUUUCUUGCGGUUGCCGUCUUCAUAUUUUCCGUAGUGUUUAACUGCAAUUUUUCCUUAAGCUGCUACCCAAUUUAAUUGCUGCCUAUAUGCGUGUGUAACAAUUCUGCUUCUUCAAUUUCCUUCUGCCGGCCAUCAAUUUAUAUGUAUAAAAAAUCUGAUUCACAGCUGCCCACUUGUCUCCAACAGCCAGCCUUUUCUCUCGUCUCUCAAUUUCUCCUUAAAAGCAACCACCAAUUUGUAGUUUAUUUUCCAUCUUUUCUCCCCCUAGCUACCGGUUUUGUUGACUCCAAAAGAGUGAAAUUCCAACUGUUUCUUUUCUCCCAGCAAUUGUAUUAAUUUAGCAGCCCUUUUGCAAUCCAAGUUCAGCCGCCGAUUUUUUGUGUAUAUGUGUGUCUCCACCACCAAUUGCCUCUGCCGUGUGUGUGUGUGUGUAUAUUAACCAAAAGCCUACAACCCCCUUCACACUGCCCUUUUUUUUUCUUUUAGGUUUUUCUCCCCAGUUGUCGUCUCCUUUUUU
RNAcentral lists this long non-coding RNA (674 nucleotides) under Olea europaea (common olive). Its description in RNAcentral is "long non-coding RNA (OEUR_LNC003518)". Lineage: Eukaryota; Viridiplantae; Streptophyta; Magnoliopsida; Lamiales; Oleaceae. The record is from RNAcentral.